AUGCUACGAUCAAAACAUACAGGCAUUAAAGAUGCAAGUGAUAAGAAGAUCUUGGUUGACAUGCUGUUCUGGGCUAUUGACAAUCCUCCACCAGCAAAUUAUCUGCUUAUCUCUGGUGACCGGGACUUCUCUCAUGCCAUUCAUAAGCUUAAAAUGAGGCGAUACAAUAUUUUAUUGGCACAACCUCCAAACUUGUCUCAAACACUUACUGCUGCAGCAAAGAGUGUUUGGCUCUGGAAAAGCCUUGUGGCUGGAGAACCACCAUUAGAACAGUCACCAUACAUAAGCAGCACAUCUUGUGGCAAUAAGGAUGAUUUGGCUACAUCAAGGAACAUAGUUUCUCGUUCUUUGGAUGUGACUCAAGAUGCCAACCCUGAAGUGCAGAAUAUUUUGUGUGAUCGUCAAAGCGGUUCUAACGGCAUGGCAGAUAAGAAAUGUGAAGUUAAGCGACCUCGAGAAAUGGAGACAGACAAUGUGUCCAAACCAGCAAGCAAAAAGCAGCUGAAGAAGAUGAGUGGGCUGGCAAAUACCAGCACUAAGCAAACUGCUGUCAAGAAACCAACACAAGGGCAACUAAAAGCAGUCAAGGGGCAGGGCUUGAUCUGCUAUAAGUGUGGUGAUGGGCACCGUGCUGCAGAGUGCACCUUUAGUGGUGACUGCCACGGUUGUGGCCGACAGGGCCACAAGGACCGAGUGUGCAAAGUGAAUCCUAACAGCAUCGUCAAGUGGCAGCCGGCACAUGCACAAGACUUAGUCACGCCCUCACCGGGGUCUGUCUCCCGGCAGGCAGCCCCUCAUGUGCCUUCUCCACCUCCAGCUUCCCCCGUCGCGGCUGCGUCACCACAGACAACUGCUGAAACUCCUUCUGGCCCAACUUCGACACCACCACGGGAGUGCUUCUUGCAGGAGACUCCUGCCGUGUCAACCCCACCUCCGGCUUCUGCGGCUCCUGUACCGCCACAUACUGGUGUUAGCGAUUUUUCUGCCCCAGCUCACUCUGGAGUCUAUGCCAUGCCGACAGCUGUGUCAAUGGGUAAACCAGACGUGGUGACGCAGCAGACAUCUUCAGCCCCUCAUCCUCCUACGGCGGUUCUAGCUCACCGGCCAAUGGCAGGACCAGGACAGUAUCAUCAAGUGGGUGCUUCUCGGCCGUUUCCAGCUUGGACACCACCACCAUGGUGCUUCUUGCAGGCGCCUCCUGCUGUGCUGAGUCCACCUCCGGCUCCUGUGCCGCCACAUACGGGUGAUGGAAAAUUUUCUGCCCCAGCUCACUCUGGAGUCUACACCAUGUCAACAGCUGUGUCAUUGGGUAAACCAGAUGUGAUGACGCAAUGGGCAUCUUCAGCCCCUCAUCCUCCUACGGCAGUUCUAGCAGCUCACCGAUCAGUCACAGGACAGUAUAAUCAAGUGGGUGCUUCUCAGCUGCAACCUGCAUCUUCAGCCCCUCGUCCUCCUACGGCAGUUCUAGCUCACCAAUCAGCCGCAGGACAGUAUCAUCAAGUGGGUGCUUCUCAGCUGCAUCUGGCAUCUUCAGCCCCUCAUCCUCCUACGGCGGUUCUAGCUCACCAACCAGUCGCAGGACAGUAUCAUCAAGUGGGUGCUUCUCAGCUGCAUCUAGCUUGGACUUUUCCUCCGGGCUACUUCUGGCAGGCAAUGCAGCUUCUCCUGCAGCAGCGCCGCUCGUGA
This 1686-nucleotide ribosomal RNA is filed under the name Triticum aestivum (bread wheat). Its description in RNAcentral is "partial small subunit ribosomal RNA". Lineage: Eukaryota; Viridiplantae; Streptophyta; Magnoliopsida; Poales; Poaceae. The record is from RNAcentral.